RNAcentral lists this ribosomal RNA (497 nucleotides) under uncultured bacterium. Its description in RNAcentral is "partial 16S ribosomal RNA". It matches the Rfam family "Bacterial small subunit ribosomal RNA", at positions 28 to 507 of the family's 1533-position model. The record is from RNAcentral.
GAUGAACGCUGGCGGCGUGCCUAAUACAUGCAAGUCGAGCGAACAGACGAGGAGCUUGCUCCUCUGACGUUAGCGGCGGACGGGUGAGUAACACGUGGAUAACCUACCUAUAAGACUGGGAUAACUUCGGGAGACCGGCGCUAAUACCGGAUAAUAUAUUGAACCGCAUGGUUCAAUAGUGAAAGUCGGUUUUGCUGUCACUUAUAGAUGGAUCCGCGCCGCAUUAGCUAGUUGGUAAGGUAACGGCUUACCAAGGCAACGAUGCGUAGCCGACCUGAGAGGGUGAUCGGCCACACUGGAACUGAGACACGGUCCAGACUCCUACGGGAGGCAGCAGUAGGGAAUCUUCCGCAAUGGGCGAAAGCCUGACGGAGCAACGCCGCGUGAGUGAUGAAGGUCUUCGGAUCGUAAAACUCUGUUAUUAGGGAAGAACAAAUGUGUAAGUAACUAUGCACGUCUUGACGGUACCUAAUCAGAAAGCCACGGCUAACUACGUG